Molecule: long non-coding RNA, 404 nt
Organism: Monopterus albus (swamp eel)
Lineage: Eukaryota; Metazoa; Chordata; Actinopteri; Synbranchiformes; Synbranchidae
Exons: 4
Source: RefSeq, a predicted model, not a curated record
ACCGCUACUUCUUUUCCUUUGUCUUCUUCUUCUUCUUCAGUGCACGCCUCAUAAAUAAACACGUAUUCACCGCACCGCUGGUGGGACGACAAACGGGCAAGAGAAGUAGCGGGACGGAUGCUCAUGCACGCGAGCUGAAUAAUGCAGGGCUCGCGAGGUCCCGGGAGUGUUUUCUGUCCCGUUCCACAGACAAUCGGAGAGCGAGCCGCCAGCGCGAGCUCCAGCCAAGCACAAUGAGGCCGACCCACGCGGAUCAGUGACCCAGUUCUGCCUCAAGGAGUCAAGUUAUCAUCCUCAGCCUCCUGACACCCACACUCACAUGUCUGGCAACAUGGUGGAUCAGUUGGUCAACCUGUGCAGAGCUCCAGCCGUUCUCCACAGAAGUAGUGGACACACCCCCAGAA